UUUUACGCUAUCUGUACAAUAUGUUCUUUUUCCUGUUCUGUUUCCGCUUCACUACACGCAAACAUUUACAUCGCAAGGACAAGAAAGAAACAUUCCCAAAAAAAGAUGUUAAUUAUCAAACUGUGUUGGAUUGUCCUGAGGGUGAUCGCCAUCAAUGCAGCACAGAUCCUGCAAGAAUGUGAACGCAAAUAUAUGAAUGAUUAUACUAAAAACAAUUCUGGAGAAUUGCUGUCAAACUAGAAAGAACAGCACUGAAUUCAGAGCACUUUUAUCGAGAUCUUUGACUGCACAUGAUAAAUUAUCAUGAAAAUGUAUAGGAAUGUAAAURCAAUAUAGAAAUGCUAAUGAGCAUGUGUUAAUGGGCUUGAUUUAUAUGCGGGAUGAAUCUAUCUAAGAAUCGAGAAGUCUCAGGAUGCACGAUACUCCAUUUUAGAGUUCCAGGCGCCAUCUUGAAAGGUAACCAAGCCUUUGCUUCAAAUUGAGACAGGAGUUGAGCCUGCAGUGAUAGAUACCUUUUAUUCACAACAUAGUCAAUCAUUCACAGGCAUCUCAAUCAUUGCAACUUUUGUCUCGCUUUGAUGCAAAGGCUCGGCUACCUUUCAAGAUGGCGCAUGGAACUGUAAAAGGAGUAUUUGGUAUGGUCCACCCCAACGCAAAGUCUUUCAGGGAGCUGCCGACUGUCAGAUAACUGAUCGUAGACUACACGCCGUAUGAUAAUUCUUCCUACUGUUCAAAUUCGCUGAUAUUCGCAAAUAAAUGCUUCMACAACACGACUCUCUUUUGAUGGGCUAUGAACUAGUUCCUGAGAUAAAUGUUAGAAAAUAUGGCUGAACAAAAAAAAUAUAUUUAUAUAGAAUAAAAUUGGUGUYUUUUUUUUCUUA
Long non-coding RNA from Exaiptasia diaphana, 881 nucleotides. RefSeq lists it as uncharacterized. The transcript has 2 exons. The record is from RefSeq and is a predicted model, not a curated record. Lineage: Eukaryota; Metazoa; Cnidaria; Anthozoa; Actiniaria; Aiptasiidae.